Long non-coding RNA from Gossypium raimondii (Peruvian cotton), 331 nucleotides. RefSeq lists it as uncharacterized. The record is from RefSeq and is a predicted model, not a curated record. Lineage: Eukaryota; Viridiplantae; Streptophyta; Magnoliopsida; Malvales; Malvaceae. The transcript has 3 exons.
AUGAACGAAAUCAGCAAGGGGGGAAGCCAUAGUUAGGGUUUUCAAGCUUCCAAGCUCCAUAAUCAAGAAGUACGAAACUCGAGGUUAGACAAAGGGAAGAAUAAAGUUGAAGACUAAGUUGGUGAAUUUGGCUAUAAUUGGUACCGAGUAUUGCAAAGCUACUUCAAGGAUCCUAAAGAAGUCGGAGAUCGUCCACACUAUCAACCACAACUGCUCGGUAUUUUAUAUCGAAUCACGUUUGAGUUAUGGCAUGUAUAGGGAUUUAGUUAUUUUGUAUGUUUGUAAUGAUGAUUUUGCUAAUGAGUGAUGUGUAAGUAUUUGAUGAUGUAUG